Non-coding RNA from Acanthosepion pharaonis, 105 nucleotides. Lineage: Eukaryota; Metazoa; Mollusca; Cephalopoda; Sepiida; Sepiidae. The record is from the annotation of a GenBank genome assembly.
AUACGGCCAUACUAUGUUGAAACACCGGUUCCCGUACAAUCACCGAAGUUAGGCAACGUUGAGUACUUAGAUGGGUGUCAGCUUGGUAAUACCAGGUGCAGUAAG